Molecule: ribosomal RNA, 468 nt
Filed under: uncultured bacterium
Lineage: Bacteria
Description: partial 16S ribosomal RNA
Rfam family: Bacterial small subunit ribosomal RNA
Source: RNAcentral
GACGAACGCUGGCGGCGUGCUUAACACAUGCAAGUCGAACGGAAAGGCCCUGCUUUUGUGGGGUGCUCGAGUGGCGAACGGGUGAGUAACACGUGAGUAACCUGCCCUUGACUUUGGGAUAACUUCAGGAAACUGGGGCUAAUACCGGAUAGGAGCUCCUGCUGCAUGGUGGUGGUUGGAAAGUUUCGGCGGUUGGGGAUGGACUCGCGGUUUAUCAGCUUGUUGGUGGGGUAGUGGCUUACCAAGGCUUUGACGGGUAGCCGGCCUGAGAGGGUGACCGGCCAAAUUGGGACUGAGAUACGGCCCAGACUCCUACGGGAGGCAGCAGUGGGGAAUAGUGCACACUGGGCGGAAGCCUGAUGCAGCAACGCCGCGUGCGGGAUGACGGCCUUCGGGUUGUAAACCGCUUUCGCCUGUGACGAAGCGUGAGUGACGGUAAUGGGUAAAGAAGCCCCGGCUACCUACGUG